GUGAUGGUGUGUGUGUGUGUGUGUGUGUGUGUGUGUUACUAUGUGUCCGAACCUAUACAAACCACAUAGGCUGAGAGUCAGG
This 82-nucleotide microRNA precursor is filed under the name Loxodonta africana (African savanna elephant). RNAcentral's name for it is "miRNA (ENSLAFG00000029154.1)". The record is from RNAcentral. Lineage: Eukaryota; Metazoa; Chordata; Mammalia; Proboscidea; Elephantidae.